CCCGGCUUAGCUCAACUUGGCAGAGCGUGCGGCUGUAGACCGCAAGGUUCCUGGUUCGAUUCCGGGAGCCGGGA
Molecule: transfer RNA, 74 nt
Filed under: Candidatus Woesearchaeota archaeon
Lineage: Archaea; Nanobdellati; Candidatus Woesearchaeota
Description: tRNA-Tyr
Rfam family: tRNA
About the family: Transfer RNA (tRNA) molecules are approximately 80 nucleotides in length. Their secondary structure includes four short double-helical elements and three loops (D, anti-codon, and T loops).
Source: RNAcentral